AUUUUUUUCUGGCAUAACUGAUAUGCGAGUUCAUUUUAUGGUCCGUUCCGAGAAGCAUUGGACUCAAAUCCACGUUUUGGAGAUAAAAAAACGUAUCAGAUGAACCCAGCAAACUACAGAGAGGCAUUAGUUGAGGCUGAAGGAGCUGAUAUUCUUUUGGUGAAACCUGGUCUUCCUUAUUUGGAUAUCAUAAGACUUCUCGGAGAUCAUUCUCCUUUGCCUAUUGCUGCAUACCAGGUAUUCUCUUCAACUUUUCACGGGUGUGCUGCAUUAACUAAUAUUCCUGUCAUUGUUUUCAUUCAUGACUUAGAACCUUUUCUUUGAUAUGAUUUCUCCAUAAUCAUCAAAAGUCAAAAGUAAACAUUGGGAAACAUUCAUAUAGCCAAUAGCGCUUUCAACAACUCCUGCACCAGGUCCUUGGCUUGCGGAAUUUCUAUAAAUUUUUUCUUUUUUCCUUUACAAGAUCAGAGGAAUUGGUUUUUAACUACAGUGCCUGAUUCAUGCUCAUAGGGAAUGUGUGUAGUUUACACUUCAUAGGAUGCAGGAUGAAGAAAGAGAGAAUGGCAUGAGAAAAGUAAAAAAGGGAAAAAACAGUAAAAUGAACACCAUUCUUGUACAAUGUACUCAAGAUUAUGUCUUUAUUAGCAAUUAAAUUUUCCACAAUUUGCUUCGAAUAUGGUGUGUGGUUGUGGUGGAUGUUCUUUAAGAUGGUUCCCUUCUUCUAAUUAAAUAUACACAACACAUAUCUACAUGUUUGCCUAUAUGCAGCAUUGCAAGGAAUGGGAUUUGUGAUUUGCAUUUCAUAACUUAGCUAUGGGGAAAAUGAAUAGGAAAAGAAAAGAAAAGGUGGCCUGCUUCUAGUUAUAUAUACAGUGACACAUAUCUACAUGUUUGCCUAUAUGUUGUACUGCAAGGAAUGGGACUUAUUGCAUUUCAAAACUUAGCUAUGAUGAAAAUGAAUAGGAAAAGAAAUGAAAAGAUGGCCUGCUUUUAGUCAUACAUACACAGACACACAUCUACAUGUUUGCCUCUAUGUUGCAUUGCAAGGAAUGAGACUUAUGAUUUGCAUUUCAAAACUUAGCUAUUAGGAAAAUGAAUAGGAAAAGAAAACAAAAGGUGGCCAGCUCUUAUCUGCCUUGACAUUUUUCUUGACAUUCUUAUUUUCCUUUCUAAAUGGAAAAUUUUUAUAAUGCAUCAAAGUAUAAAUUUCUAGCAGACUUGGUCAAACACAAAUUUGUUCUGGAAAUGUACUUUCUUUUUCUGUUUUCUCCUAAAAUGCUUACUUUCAGUUUCCUGUUCUCUAUCAAUUUUUUAUUUUUAUUAGU
Molecule: non-coding RNA, 1325 nt
Organism: Durio zibethinus
Lineage: Eukaryota; Viridiplantae; Streptophyta; Magnoliopsida; Malvales; Malvaceae
Source: RefSeq, a predicted model, not a curated record